RNAcentral lists this transfer RNA (76 nucleotides) under Halobellus salinus. RNAcentral's name for it is "tRNA-Arg". It matches the Rfam family "tRNA". Rfam says of the family: Transfer RNA (tRNA) molecules are approximately 80 nucleotides in length. Their secondary structure includes four short double-helical elements and three loops (D, anti-codon, and T loops). The record is from RNAcentral. Lineage: Archaea; Methanobacteriati; Methanobacteriota; Halobacteria; Halobacteriales; Haloferacaceae.
CGGACGUGUGGCCUAGUGGAUCAGGGCGAGGGGUUCCUAACCCCUAGAGCGCGGGUUCGAAUCCCGUCACGUCCGU